GAUCAUGGCUCAGGACGAACGCUGGCGGCGCGCCUAACACAUGCAAGUCGAACGGAGCUUAGAGAGCUUGCUUUUUAAGCUUAGUGGCGAACGGGUGAGUAACGCGUGAGUAACCUGCCCUAGAGUGGGGGACAACAGUUGGAAACGACUGCUAAUACCGCAUAAGCCCACGGUACCGCAUGGCACUGAGGGAAAGGAUUUAUUCGCUUUAGGAUGGACUCGACGUUCCAAUUAGCUAGUUGGUGAGG
RNAcentral lists this ribosomal RNA (248 nucleotides) under uncultured bacterium. Its description in RNAcentral is "partial 16S ribosomal RNA". It matches the Rfam family "Bacterial small subunit ribosomal RNA", at positions 15 to 257 of the family's 1533-position model. The record is from RNAcentral.